GCCCUUCGGGGUACUCGAGCGGCGAACGGGUGAGUAACACGUGAGUAAUCUGCCCCAUGCUUCGGGAUAGCCAGCCGAAAGGCUGAUUAAUACCGGAUAUGACACUCCCCGGCAUCGGGUGGGUGUGGAAAGUUUUUUCGGCGUGGGAUGUGCUCGCGGCCUAUCAGCUUGUUGGUGGGGUAAUGGCCUACCAAGGCUUCGACGGGUAGCCGGCCUGAGAGGGUGACCGGCCACACUGGGACUGAGACACGGCCCAGACUCCUACGGGAGGCAGCAGUGGGGAAUAUUGGACAAUGGGCGGAAGCCUGAUCCAGCAACGCCGCGUGAGGGAUGACGGCCUUCGGGUUGUAAACCUCUUUCAGCACAGACGAAGCGCAAGUGACGGUAUGUGCAGAAGAAGGACCGGCCAACUACGUGCCAGCAGCCGCGGUAAUACGUAGGGUCCGAGCGUUGUCCGGAAUUAUUAGGCGUAAAGGGCUCGUAGGCGGUUUGUCGCGUCGGGAGUGAAAACCUACAGCUUAACUGUGGGCUUGCUUUCGAUACGGGCAGACUUGAGGCAUGCAGGGGAGAACGGAAUUCCUGGUGUAGCGGUGAAAUGCGCAGAUAUCAGGAGGAACACCGGUGGCGAAGGCGGUUCUCUGGGCAUGUUCUGACGCUGAGGAGCGAAAGUGUGGGGAGCGAACAGGAUUAGAUACC
This 696-nucleotide ribosomal RNA is filed under the name uncultured earthworm intestine bacterium. RNAcentral's name for it is "bacterial SSU rRNA". It matches the Rfam family "Bacterial small subunit ribosomal RNA", at positions 75 to 786 of the family's 1533-position model. The record is from RNAcentral.